GAUGAAGAACGCAGCGAAAUGCGAUAAGUAAUGUGAAUUGCAGAAUUCAGUGAAUCAUCGAAUCUUUGAACGCACAUUGCGCCCCUUGGUAUUCCGAGGGGCAUGCCUGUUCGAGCGUCAUUACAACCCUCAGGCCCCCGGGCCUGGCGUUGGGGAUCGGCGGAGCCCCCCGUGGGCACACGCCGUCCCCCAAAUACAGUGGCGGUCCCGCCGCAGCUUCCAUCGCGUAGUAGCUAACACCUCGCGACUGGAGAGCGGCGCGGCCACGCCGUAAAACACCCAACUCUUCUGAAGUUGACCUCGAAUCAGGUAGGAAUACCCGCUGAACUUAAGCAUAUCAAUAAGCGGAGGA
RNAcentral lists this unclassified non-coding RNA (352 nucleotides) under soil metagenome. RNAcentral describes it as "partial contains 5.8S ribosomal RNA, internal transcribed spacer 2, and large subunit ribosomal RNA". The stretch from base 1 to 120 matches the Rfam family "5.8S ribosomal RNA", at positions 35 to 154 of the family's 154-position model. The record is from RNAcentral.